This 663-nucleotide unclassified non-coding RNA is filed under the name Hevea brasiliensis (rubber tree). The record is from RNAcentral. Lineage: Eukaryota; Viridiplantae; Streptophyta; Magnoliopsida; Malpighiales; Euphorbiaceae.
GAUUGCAGAACUGGCUCAUGUCGGACACGGCCGCGGUGGCUGCCGAAAUAGCUUCCGACGCGCCGAUCUGCGGACCCUUGUCCGAAUCGGGCGUCUUGUCGGUCGGGAGCAGCACAAGCACCAGCCCCAGCCAGAACGCCAUGCGAAGGAGGAAAAACAUCUCACACCCCGUUAGUCGCUUUCACCGGAAUGACUUCACGCGAUGAAGCACUCCGCCCCGUUGCGAUUGAUCUCGCAAUCAUCCCGUGUCGUAUCAGACGCGGAUAAAUCUCCGGUUCUUGCGCUGUCUAAAAUUUGAAUGGUUUGAUUUGGCGUAAAUUUUCGAUUGAUAAGAGCAAUAUUUCGCUUCGAAUGACGCGGCCGUGGCCGCGGCCCAUGCACGAUUUCGAAACCAUAACGCGCCGCAUGGAAACUUCGCGUUCACCAUUCGGCUGGAUGAAAUCGCCGAUUGUCCGCGAAAACAGCGCAUUCGAACGGCGUAACUUGCUAUCGGCAGCGCGCCUUAGCGUUCGCUUAAGUUCACUCUGACACCAUCGGCCAAACGAAAAACGGGGGCGUUCCGGCAGUCGACACGACGACCGGCCGAACAGUGAGAACAACGUGAGAUUGUCCGCCAUCAUACGUGAUCAUCUGGACUCGCUGCUGCAUCCAUCGGCGCGGCGG